This 805-nucleotide long non-coding RNA is filed under the name Homo sapiens (human). RNAcentral's name for it is "novel transcript". The record is from RNAcentral. Lineage: Eukaryota; Metazoa; Chordata; Mammalia; Primates; Hominidae.
AGUUUGGGAUCCACAGUCUACAAAAUCCCACAGCUCCUAAGAAUUCUCUCACCUGCCUUCUGCCCUUAAGCUCCGGUAGAUUGCAAAUAACCUGCUUUCUUUCUGUUCCCGAGCUGCCUUCGGACCCGUCGGAUCGUAAAUCCCACGUAAGGUACCUGCCGUCGGAAGAUUUGAACUUUCUACUUGGACACCUAAUACCCACAGUCCUCCAGGUACCUGCCGUCGGAAGAUUUGAACUUUCUACUUGGACAACUAACACCCACAGUCCUCCAGCUGCGUUCGGACCCGUCGGAUCGUAAAUCCCACGUAAGGUCGGAAGAUUUGAACUUUCUACUUGGACACCUAACACCCACAGUCCUCCAGCUGCGUUCGGACCCGUCUGAUCGUAAAUCCCAUGUAAGGUACCUGCCGUCGGAAGAUUUGAACGUUCUACUUGGACACCUAAAACCCACAGUCCUCCAGACAGAAAGACAACAGGUACAAAGCCCUAAGGAUUAUAAAGGUAUGCUGCUUACCAUCAUCUUAGUGACCAAGGCAGCGAAGCUGUUUCUGUACCUUGGAACAGUCUUCCCUGACAAGCCAGAGAACAGUGAUAAAGCCACCAGCCUUGGGAUCAGGACUGAAAAGGCAAGAGUGAUGGAGAUUUCUCCUGCGCUAAGCCAAGAGAAGGUUUCAGCACUUCAGACAGCUCCCACCGAAGUAGCCGCGCUCCCAGCUGCUUGCAGAUGUUGAAAAGGAAAGCCUCGGUUUGUCUUGAGGUUGUCAGCAGGUGCAAGACACGUAAUAAAAUGCAAUGUGUUCCUAA